This is an RNA transcript of Daphnia pulicaria, 3020 nucleotides long. It is a transcript of the gene named excitatory amino acid transporter 3-like, with no coding region annotated. The record is from RefSeq and is a predicted model, not a curated record. The transcript has 15 exons. Lineage: Eukaryota; Metazoa; Arthropoda; Branchiopoda; Diplostraca; Daphniidae.
CGCCAUCAGUCUCCAAUUGGCCGACGGUUAGACCGGUUUUGUCCAAUCCUUUUCUGAUUAUUCAAAAGCGUCAAAUGCCGUGUUAACUCUGGUUUGACGACGAUUGUUGUGCCAGUGCCGCAGCCGGAAUCAGCCGCCUCUAUCGAUCAGGUCAGCCUCGUCGAAAGGUAGACGAGGUGAACAACGAUCGCGAUCCUCAUCACCGGAGACGGGCGUCGGCUCCGGCACCAAAGGAUCCAGCGCGACCAAAGGUCGUCCAUUCGCCAAACCGAUUUCGCGAGCACUCAACAUGAGCGUGACGCAAAAAGUUGUCGGCUGCCUCAGGAGCAACGUCCUGACAAUCCUCAACAUCGCCGGCGUCUUCUCAGGCGUCGUCCUCGCCCUGGCACUCAGGUCGUCGCGCGAGGAGAAAUGGACACAACGAGAAAUUGUUUAUGUUGGUUUUGUAGGUGAUUUGUUUUUACGAAUUCUUAAGUGUCUCAUUCUGCCAUUGAUCGUCUCAUCAAUGACUUCAGCCAUCGGCUCUCUGGACCUUUCCGUGUCGGGACGGAUCGGUACGCGAGCCAUCGUCUACUAUAUGACCACCACCGUCAGCGCUGUCAUUCUGGGUAUCAUCCUCGUCCUGACUAUCCAUCCAGGCGAAGGAUCCGAUGAGGGAAUCGUUCGCGGCGGUUCCGUCCGUCACGUCACCACGGCCGACAUGCUCAUGGAUCUCAUCAGAAACCUGUUCCCACCGAAUUUGGUCCAGGCUUGCAUCGCUCAGUAUAAGACUGUGUUGACACCACCUGCCGACUAUUUGGAGUCUCUAGCCAAUAUGACCAACUCCAAUGGAACCGACGCCGGUAACAUGACCGCCGGAAAGCCAAAGAAAAUCUACGACUGGAAGAUGUCAUCCGACUACGUGGACGCCACCAAUAUCCUCGGACUCAUCGUCUUUUCCACCGUGUUGGGCAUCACGCUCGGCCGGAUGGGAGCCAAGGGCAAGCCGCUCCUCAACUUCUUCGUCUCGAUGAGCGAAGCCGUCAUGAUGAUCACCGGCUGGGUCGUUUGGUUGUCACCGGUAGGUGUCAUGUUUUUGGUGGCCUCCAAGAUGUUGGAAAUGGAGAGCUGGGAAGUCAUGUUGGGACAACUUGGCAUGUACUUUUUCACGGUGAUGAUUGGCCUCUUCAUCCACGGUUUCGUCGUUCUCCAGCUAAUCUACUUCAUUGUGACGCGGAAAUUGCCGUUCCGCUACGUCGGAAACCUCUCCGAAGCUCUGGCCACUGCUUUCGCCACUUCAUCGAGCUCGGCCACUCUACCCGUGGCGCUGAAAUGCUUGGAGGAGAAAAACCAAGUGGAUCCACGAGUGACCCGCUUCGUCAUGCCAAUUGGCGCCACCAUUAACAUGGACGGAACGGCCUUGUACGAAGCCGUCGCCGCCAUCUUCAUCUCGCAAGUGCGUGGUAUUCAUCUGACCAUGGGCAACGUUGUGGCUGUCAGCAUCACCGCCACAGCUGCUAGCAUCGGCGCCCCUGGAAUUCCUCAGGCCGGAAUCGUCGCCAUGGUGAUGGUUCUCGCUACUCUUGGCCUGCCAGCCGAAGACGUCUCCCUCAUCGUGGCUGUCGAUUGGUUUUUGGAUCGCUUCCGGACGUUUACCAAUGUGCUAGGAGAUUCGUUGGGAGCCGGUAUUGUGCACCAUUUGAGCCGUCAUGAGCUGGAAGAGAUGCCGAUCGAACCUGCCACUGGUCGAAGAGAGUCUGAUAUUGAACUGGACGGCCCGCUAGCUGGUGUCGAUCUAGAGAAGGGCGAGUCGAGCUACGGUGGCCCAAGCUCAGGAAUCCCAAUGUUACCUCCGCCGCCGUGGAAGUCGAAUGGCAGUCGACAUCCAUGUUAGUCUCGGCCCUGCCCUCGGAGGCUUUGAUCUAAACACCGCGCGCGCUGGCGACACGGCCGUUCUAGAGAUGAUGACGAGCUAUCAAUCGCCAUUUCGCUUAUUUCUUACGAUUUCUUAUGUUUAGACAUACAUAUUUUUUUUUUUUUGUUAUUUCAUUUUUAAAUUUUAUUCGUUUUUUUUUUUUUUUUUUUUUUUUUUUCAACGACGUUAUUCUAGAAAUUGAUUUGUAAUGAAACACUCCGGUGAAUUUCAUUCUCUGUAUCCUUUUCCUAAAUCAUGCUUUUGGGCGCUUUUGGGUUUGGAACUUUUUGAUACGUAGAAUUUAAGACCAACGUUGUACUGGUAUCUAUUGAAACAAAACUAAACUAAAAAAAGGAAAAAAAGAGACAAAAACAUUUUGUGCAAAGUUAUUAUGUAUCCGGGAAUUUAUUCGGACUGUCUAUGUCUACUGUUUUUAUACAUACCGUGUAUACACACAUCCUAACGCGGGAAUAAGUUAGUUUGGCAACAUCUUUCCAGGCGGACGCGACGCGUUGGCGUUGCAGACGAGUUUAUAAUUGGAACUGCAUGUGAAAGUUUCAGCAUUCGACAACUAACUCUCUGCUCUGCUAGUUUUGUUAGAAUCCACCAGCUUUGUUGAGAAUGCAGUGUCUCAACUCGCAAGUUUCGACGAGUAUCAUAUUGUCAAAGGCCACGUGGUGAAAUUUUAAAUCAAGGCGGGAUGAAACUUUAUUUCCGAGAAAUGAAAGGAUGGUAAAUCCUUCAUACGGCAGAUUGACAUGACUGCCUUUGAAGUAAGGGUGUUGUCCUAAAAGUGCUUUGCGGAAUGUAUAUUGAGUAUUGCUGUGGAGCUUCAAACCAAAUAUGGUGUGAUUGACAAUUAAGAAGUGGUGUUCAAGUCUUGUUGAAUUCUGGAACAUAUUGUGGCUCAUCCAUGAUUGACAGCUUUUCUUGAUGCUUCCAACCAGAAUUCAAUGUGAUGGUUGCUGGCUGCUCUGUGGAUUGGACAUUGCAAACUGGAUUAAGUCAUGUUCUCGAUUUAUUGCAUCAUUUCAAGUGUAUUAAGUUUCUGUAUUGUCUGUUGAAUGUAGACCGGUUAAAUCUCCGGUGGCGAGCUGGAGGAAUACACUGCAGGUCUUGAACUAUU